RNAcentral lists this ribosomal RNA (253 nucleotides) under uncultured prokaryote. RNAcentral describes it as "partial 16S ribosomal RNA". It matches the Rfam family "Bacterial small subunit ribosomal RNA", at positions 526 to 777 of the family's 1533-position model. The record is from RNAcentral.
CGGGGGGAGCAAGCGUUGUUCGGAUUUACUGGGCGUAAAGGGCGGGUAGGCGGCCACUGCAAGUCGGUUGUGAAAUCUCCGGGCUUAACUCGGAAAGGUCAAUCGAUACUGCAGGGCUAGAGUGCAGAAGGGGCAACUGGAAUUCUCGGUGUAGCGGUGAAAUGCGUAGAUAUCUGGAGGAACACCGGUGGCGAAGGCGGCAUCCUGGACCGAUACUGACGCUGAUGAGCGAAAGCCAGGGGAGCAAACGGGA